Molecule: ribosomal RNA, 650 nt
Filed under: uncultured bacterium
Lineage: Bacteria
Description: bacterial SSU rRNA
Rfam family: Bacterial small subunit ribosomal RNA
Source: RNAcentral
UCAGAUGCGAAAGCGUGGGGAGCAAACAGGAUUAGAUACCCUGGUAGUCCACGCCGUAAACGAUGUCUACUUGGAGGUUGUGGCCUUGAGCCGUGGCUUUCGGAGCUAACGCGUUAAGUAGACCGCCUGGGGAGUACGGUCGCAAGAUUAAAACUCAAAUGAAUUGACGGGGGCCCGCACAAGCGGUGGAGCAUGUGGUUUAAUUCGAUGCAACGCGAAGAACCUUACCUACUCUUGACAUCCAGAGAACUUUCCAGAGAUGGAUUGGUGCCUUCGGGAACUCUGAGACAGGUGCUGCAUGGCUGUCGUCAGCUCGUGUUGUGAAAUGUUGGGUUAAGUCCCGCAACGAGCGCAACCCUUAUCCUUGUUUGCCAGCGAGUAAUGUCGGGAACUCCAGGGAGACUGCCGGUGAUAAACCGGAGGAAGGUGGGGACGACGUCAAAUCAUCAUGGCCCUUACGAGUAGGGCUACACACGUGCUACAAUGGCGCAUACAGAGGGCGGCCAACUUGCGAAAGUGAGCGAAUCCCAAAAAGUGCGUCGUAGUCCGGAUUGGAGUCUGCAACUCGACUCCAUGAAGUCGGAAUCGCUAGUAAUCGUGGAUCAGAAUGCCACGGUGAAUACGUUCCCGGGCCUUGUACACACCGCCCA